RNAcentral lists this long non-coding RNA (4121 nucleotides) under Homo sapiens (human). Its description in RNAcentral is "HSALNT0075740". Lineage: Eukaryota; Metazoa; Chordata; Mammalia; Primates; Hominidae. The record is from RNAcentral.
CUGGUAAGAAACUGAAUGCCUUUCUCCUGAGAUCAGGAACACAACAAGGAUAUCCUUUCUUGCCACUUCCAUUCAACAUUGCAGUGAAGGUCAUACAAUUCCAGGUUGCUCACAGACCCCCUCUAGGAGAUGUUACUGUCGCUCAUUCGUAUUUCCGGUUCUACUCCUCUUCCGGGCACACUGGAGAAUUACACUUCCUUGCUGACUUGAGAUAAGUCACAGCUUUGGCCAAUGAAGUGUGAAUGGAAGUUUUCAGAACCUUUAAGAGCCUGUACGCAAUUUGCCAUGCUUUCUCUUUUUGCUUUGUCACCAAAACCUCUGUGUUCCAGAUAGUGACUACUCUGUCUGCGUGGGUCCUGGAGAGAGGAGGAUGCAGAGCACAGCACUUAGCCAACCUGCAAUGGACACGUAGAAAACCUCAAGAAAGGCUCUGGCCUAGACUUGCCCCUUGUUCCUGUCUUCUGGCUCUUGACUGACACUGGUGCUUUCCCCCUGUGGUCCUGCAUGGUGUGUGGUGACUACCUCAUUGGGCCCUAAAACUUCUAAAAUCAUCAGGAGAUAUCACUGAAAAGGUUUCAAAACAAAGCCAUAAUCUCUAGAAAUGUGUCCUUGAUGGGUUGGUCUUCAUUUGCCUGAAGCUCCACCACCAGAUAAGCACAACUGAGCGAAUGACACCAACCAGUGCCAAGAGAAGCAGGACUACCCAACUACACUUUGCCUAAAUUCCUGAUUCACAGAAUUAUAAGCAAAUAAAAUGAUUGUUUAAAGCACUAAGUUUUGGGUUCAUUUGUUAUGCGGCAAUAAAGAAUCAAAACACCUGGAACCCAGUUCCCUUCUCUUUUAUUACCCACAUGGUCUCUCUCCUGUAGUGUCGCUGUUUUUCCUGACUAGCUUUCUCAUCCUGCUGUUACACCCUUACUAGGAAUUUCUCUCAGCAAUAUCCAGUUAAAAUUCCGGAAGGGAAUAGGCUGGUUGGCUUUGCUCAUUGUCUCACUUUUCUUGGGCAGAACCUUUUGUACCAAUCCAUUUCAUCAGCAUUUUUAUGGGUGAAUCUUAGUUGACCAGGUACCGACUCUCGUCAAAUUACUGUCUGACUCUACACAAGAAAUAUACAAAGAGCCUGGUGCUGCUUUCCUGAGCAGGACAGUUCAUAGGGACAUUGAGCAUGGUUGGCAUCUAACCUGGUUAUUCUGAAGAUUUCAUGAUUAAAUCCUCAGUCCUAUGAAUUAACCAAUUGUCCAGUGUUAAAAUACAGACACCCCCUGCACACAUGAAACUGCUCAUCAAUUGUUUAAACUUUAACAUAUGUAAAAGGUGUCCAGUAGGAGCUAGCUGAAUCUGAGCAUUAAUGCUGGAAAAGGAGGAGGAGGCCUGAGAUCUUUGGCUGCUUGGUAGAGUAAAGGUGGUAGAAAGAAGUCAACAAGAACUUAAAGGAAAGAUCAAAGGACAGUGAAAGAACAUUUUUCCUAGUUUUGCCUAGAGCAGGCUUUUGAUUAAAGGUAGAGUGCUGACUCUCUAAAGAUAGAUAUCUAAAAGGAUUCUUCUAGAUACAUGAGAGCACAGGAAAGAUUGUGCAAGGGCAUAAAUAUGAGCAUACUAUAGUGAUUAAGACCAUGUGACAUUAAAGGAAGAGGAAGAUGGAAAAAAAGGUACAUGAAGAAUAUAAACAAGAGGUUGGUGCCUAGAAAAAGAGGAAGAUAGUAGAAAGUUUGGGAAGUAUAGAAAGUAUAAGAUCCUUUAGGAGUUGUUCUUUAUAUACUACUAUUUGCUAAACUUCAAUGUUUAAAAUUCAGCAUUUGUAGAGCAAGCGUAGGUAUACAGCUAUUAUUAAAUUCUAAUAUGUAAUGGUCUGUAUACUUCCAGAAGCUUUCAGAGUUUUGAAUUGAUAUUCCAUUAUAAAUUUUUUAGGAAUUCACCAUUUGUAAUGCACAUGUCUAGUGAUAAUUCUUUCCCUCAGCCCCACCCCCCAGAUCUUUAUAUGUCUGGUAAUUUCUCAUCAUUCAGGCUUUCGUUGAAACGGAAAUGCCUCAGAAAGCCUUUUGCUUUCUUAACCAUCCUUGGCAAGAAGAAUUCCAUGAUGGACCCUCCAGGUUCCUAGCCUUGAUAUACACACAUCUCUCAGUUAUUCAGUAAAACACACUAAUGUAGCUAUUGCUGUAAAGGAAGUAUGGAGAUGAAAUCAAGGUCCCAAAUCUAUUGACCUUUAAAUAAAGAGAUUAACCGGGUGGAACUGACCAAGUCAUAUGAGCCCUUUAAAAUAAAUUUUCUCAACCACAGUGAGAUACGACCUCAUAGCUGUUACAACGGCUAUAUCAAAGAGACAAGAGAGGCUGGGCAUGGUGGCUCACGCCUAUAAUCCCUGCACUUUGGGAGGCAGAGGAGGGUGGGUUACUUGAGGUCAGGUGUUUGAGACCAGCCUGGCCAACAGGCUGAAAGCCCGUCUCUACUAAAAAUACAAAAAUUAACCUGGCAUGGUGGAGGGCAUCUGUAAUCCCAGCAACUCAGCUGAGGCAGAAUAAUUGCUUAAACCCAAGAGAUGGAUGUUGCAGUGAGCCAAAACCACACCACAGCCCUUCAGCCUGGGCAACAGAGUGAGACUCCAUCUUAAAAAAAAAAAAAACAAGAGAUAACAAGUUCAGCUAAUUUAAUGUAUAGCAUGCCAAUUAUAAUUAAUAACAAUGUAACAUACACUUGGAAAUUGCUAAAAGAGUCGAUUUCAAUGUCCUCACCCCAAACAAAUAAUAUGUGAGGUAGUAGAUAUGUUAAUUAGCUUGAUUUUGUCAUUUCACAAUGUGUACAUAUAUCAAAAUAUAUUGUACACCAUAAAUAUAUACAAUUUUUAUUUAUUCAUUUAAAAAUAAGUAAAAAUAAAAAUGGGGCUUAUACUUUAAGAAAUUGAUUUUGGCCAGGCACAGUGGCUCACGCCUGUAAUCCCAGCACUUUGGGAGGCCGAGGUGGGUGGAUCACCUGAGGUCUGGAGUUCGAGACCAGCUUAGCCAACAUGGUGAAACCCCAUCUCUGAUGAAAAUAUAAAAAAUGAGCUGGGUGUGGUGGAAGGCUCCUAUAAUCCCAGCUACCUGAGAGGCUGAGGCAGGAGAAUCACUUGAAGCGGGGUGGUGGAGGUUGCAGUGAGUCGAGAUCGCAUCAUUGCACGCCAGCCUGGGCAACAGGAGCAAAACUCUGCUCAAAAAAAGAAAAAAGAAAAAAGAAAAAAAAAAACUUGAUUUUAUCUGGCUGUUUGAAGAAGUCAGAGAUGUGAAGUUUGUGACGGUUAUCACAUGCCAUUGCUGACAAAGAUGGAGGAAUUCAAGGAAUGUGGCAGGCUACUGGAGCCCAGGGUAGCCCUUGGCUAACAGCCAGCAAGGAGCAAGGAUCUCAGUCCUACAACUACAAGGAACUGGAUUCUGCCAGUAACAGCAAUGAGCUUGGAAGCAGAGUUUUUAUUUCAGCCUUGUGAGACCCUGAGCAGAGAACCCAGCAAUACCAUGCCAGACUUCUGAUCUACAAAGCAGUAUAUAAUAAAUGAGUGUUUUUUAAAUGGCUGAGUUCAUGAUAAUUUGUUACAUAGCAACAGAAAACUAAUUUACCAUCCUAAUCUAAAAUAAGACCCCAUAAUCACACUCCAGUCAUUAUUAUACAUUAGUUUGUUUUUCUUUCUUCAAAAAUAUAUAUAAUAAUUUAUGUAUUAUAUAUAAAACAUAAAAUUAAUAUUUAUUUGCUUGCUUGCUUGCUAAAUAUCUCUUCCCUAAUAUUAUAUUAGACAAUAAGCUUAGUGAGGGAACGUAAAAGGUACCCAAUCAAUAUUUACUUAAAAAAAGAUAAAUGCCUACAUUUAAACAAAUAUUUUUCAAAAAAAGGUUAAUCAAAUCUCAGAGAUACCAUCCCCCCCAAAAAAUUUUUUAAAUAUGUCUUCUAGGCCAGGCGCAGUGGCUCACACCUGUAAUCCCAGCACUUGGGGAGGCUGAGGUGGAAGGACUGCCUGAGUCCAGGAGUUCAAGACCAACCUAGGCAACAUGUUGAGACUCCAUCUCAUAAAAUAAAUUUGUUUUUUAAAGUGUCUUCUGGCCGGGCGCGGUGGCUUACGCCUGUAAUCCCAGCACUUUGGGAGGCCGAGGCGGGCG